Molecule: ribosomal RNA, 1239 nt
Filed under: Triticum aestivum (bread wheat)
Lineage: Eukaryota; Viridiplantae; Streptophyta; Magnoliopsida; Poales; Poaceae
Description: partial small subunit ribosomal RNA
Source: RNAcentral
AUGAGUAGUACAAGCUGUGCAAUCUUAAGUUGGAACAUCAGAGGGCUGAACACGCCAGCAAGACGAACUGCCGUGCGAGAGAUAGCAGAGGCGCACCGGGCAAGUAUCCUCUGUCUGCAGGAGACUAAGCUAGAAUCCUGGACACCCAGCAUUGUUAGAGAGCUGGGAGGAGCCAAAUUGGAAGGGUGCGUUGUUCUCCCUGCGAGUGGCACAAGAGGAGGAGUUGUUGUUCUAUGGGACAAGAGCCUGGUCAGUUUUGUGACACACGCAGUUGGAAACUUCUCAAUCACCGGAAAGGUGUAUCUGAUCCAGGACAGACUCGAGUUUUGGCUCACAACGGUCUACGGACCAGUCGACGACACGCGCAAAGAUGUGUUCCUCGCUGAAAUGGCUCACGCUGCACCACCACAAGGAGAAACCUGGUUGUUGAAUGGAGAUUUCAACAUCAUAUAUGAAGCACGCGACAAAAACAAUCUCAACCUGAACAAGAGGACCAUGGGCAUGUUCAGAACAGCGAUUGACAGAGCAGGUUUGAAAGAGAUCAAAUGCAAAAAUAGAAGGUUUACAUGGACAAAUGAGCGGCUAAACCCAACGAUGGUCAGCAUUGAUAAAGUGUUUUGCAACUCGGAAUGGGAUGCCCUCUUCCCCUCAUUCAUGUUGAUGGCCUCGGCAACAGCUUGUUCAGAUCACUGCCCUUUGCUGCUUGCCAACUCUGCGGCACCAUGCAAAAGGGCAGCAUUUUGCUUCGAGUCUUUUUGGCCACGCUUUCCUCACUUUCAGGAAACAGUUGAACGAGCUUGGCAGCGCCCAGUUAAUCACACCUGCCCAAUCAUCAGACUCAAGAAAAAGAUGCAGAGGACAGCGCACGAUCUGAAAAUUUGGGCAAAGUCUCUUUUUAGCGAUGCAAAGACCCAGUUCCACUUGGCGUGCGAAGUAAUAUUGAGGCUUGAUAUAGCUCAAGAAAGAAGAGGCCUGACGCCACAGGAAUUCUGGUUAAGGAAACAGCUAAAGCUUCGGGUUCUUGGAUUGGCUGCAGUAGAGAGAGCAAGGAAGAGACAGGUUUCAAGGAUAACCUGGCUCAAGGCGGGAGAUGCAAGAACGGCCUUCUUUCAAGCAAAGAUCAACUCCAGGAGGAGGAAGAAUUUUAUUCACUCCCUGCAAAUAGAAACAAGGACAGCCACUGCGCACGAGGAGAAGAAAGCAAUUGUGCACGAUCACUUUGCAAAUCUGCUGGGGUAA